GUGUCAGCCGCCGCGGUAAGACGAACCGUGCGAACGUUGUUCGGAAUCACUGGGCUUAAAGGGCGCGUAGGUGGUUUGCCAAGUCGGGGUUGAAAUCUUUCGGCUCAACCGGAAAAGUGGCUUCGAUACUGGCAAGCUGGAGGGAGGUAGGGGCGGAUGGAACUUCCGGUGGAGCGGUGAAAUGUGUUGAUAUCGGAAGGAACGCCGGUGGCGAAAGCGAUCCGCUGGACCUCUUCUGACACUGAGGCGCGAAAGCCAGGGGAGCAAACGGGAUUAGAAACCCCCGUAGUCC
RNAcentral lists this ribosomal RNA (292 nucleotides) under uncultured bacterium. RNAcentral describes it as "partial 16S ribosomal RNA". It matches the Rfam family "Bacterial small subunit ribosomal RNA", at positions 505 to 796 of the family's 1533-position model. The record is from RNAcentral.